Molecule: long non-coding RNA, 461 nt
Organism: Juglans microcarpa x Juglans regia
Lineage: Eukaryota; Viridiplantae; Streptophyta; Magnoliopsida; Fagales; Juglandaceae
Exons: 3
Source: RefSeq, a predicted model, not a curated record
CCUUUAGGCUAAAGCCCCCCGAGGAUGAGCGAGAUUCUGGCAGUCAUGGGAAACAGUGGUUUUGGGAAGAUCACCUUUGCUAUGAAGAUUACUUGGAGUCUUGCGUUGGGGGAAAUUCUUGCUUACGAUAAUUUAAGGAGGUGAUGGACGAAGGAGAUAAAUUGGUGCUUUAUGUGUGGGAGGAAUGGGGAAACAAUGACUCAUUUGAUACCACUUGUCGAGAGGUUGUGCAGCCUCAGAAUUACUCUGGACUUUGUUUUUGGAUACCCGGUGCCAAAAAAUAAACAUAAAUAUUAUUAGAAUAGUUGGAAGAUGUUAGUCUCAAACCUCCUGAUUUAGCAACUUCGAUAGUUUUUUUUUUUUUUUUUUGGCAAUUCUAUAUGGAUGGUUUUAUGCACACCACUGACCUUUCUUGGUUUCCUUAAGAUGAAACAUGUUGUAUUUGAAGAUCUUUCAGAGGU